UACGGGGGGGGCAAGCGUUGUUCGGAAUUACUGGGCGUAAAGGGCUCGUAGGUGGCCAACUAAGUCAGACGUGAAAUCCCUCGGCUUAACCGGGGAACUGCGUCUGAUACUGGAUGGCUUGAGUUCGGGAGAGGGGUGCGGAAUUCCAGGUGUAGCGGUGAAAUGCGUAGAUAUCUGGAGGAACACCGGUGGCGAAGGCGGCAUCCUGGACCGACACUGACGCUGAGGAGCGAAAGCCAGGGGAGCAAACGGG
RNAcentral lists this ribosomal RNA (253 nucleotides) under uncultured bacterium. RNAcentral describes it as "partial 16S ribosomal RNA". It matches the Rfam family "Bacterial small subunit ribosomal RNA", at positions 524 to 776 of the family's 1533-position model. The record is from RNAcentral.